AUUGAACGCUGGCGGCAGGCCUAACACAUGCAAGUCGAACGAGUGGCGGACGGGUGAGUAAUGUCUGGGAAACUGCCUGAUGGAGGGGGAUAACUACUGGAAACGGUAGCUAAUACCGCAUACCAUCGGAUGUGCCCAGAUGGGAUUAGCUAGUAGGGGGGGUAAAGGCUCACCUAGGCGACGCUCCCUAGCUGGUCUGAGAGGAGUACCAGCCACACUGGAACCGAGACACGGUCCAGACUCCUACGGGAGGCAGCAGUGGGGAAUAUUGCACAAUGGGCGCAAGCCUGAUGCAGCCAUCCCGCGUGUAUGAUGAAGGCCUUCGGGUUGUAAAGUACUUUCAGCGGAGAGGCGUUACCCGCAGAAGAAGCACCGGCUAACUCCGUGCCAGCAGCCGCGGUAAUUC
This 406-nucleotide ribosomal RNA is filed under the name uncultured bacterium. RNAcentral's name for it is "partial 16S ribosomal RNA". It matches the Rfam family "Bacterial small subunit ribosomal RNA", at positions 30 to 526 of the family's 1533-position model. The record is from RNAcentral.